GGACGAACGCUGGCGGCGUGCUUAACACCUGCACGUCGAACGGAAAGGCCCUGCUUGCAGGGUACUCGAGUGGCGAACGGGUGAGUAACACGUGGGUGAUCUGCCCUGCACUUCGGGAUAAGCCUGGGAAACUGGGUCUAAUACCGGAUAGGAGCCAUUUUUAGUGUGAUGGUUGGAAAGUUUUUUCGGUGUAGGAUGAGCUCGCGGCCUAUCAGCUUGUUGGUGGGGUAAUGGCCUACCAAGGCGGCGACGGGUAGCCGGCCUGAGAGGGUGGACGGCCACAUUGGGACUGAGAUACGGCCCAGACUCCUACGGGAGGCAGCAGUGGGGAAUAUUGCACAAUGGGCGCAAGCCUGAUGCAGCGACGCCGCGUGGGGGAUGACGGCCUUCGGGUUGUAAACUCCUUUCGCUAGGGACGAAGCUUUUUGUGACGGUACCUAGAUAAGAAGCACCGGCUAACUACGUG
RNAcentral lists this ribosomal RNA (466 nucleotides) under uncultured bacterium. RNAcentral's name for it is "partial 16S ribosomal RNA". It matches the Rfam family "Bacterial small subunit ribosomal RNA", at positions 27 to 507 of the family's 1533-position model. The record is from RNAcentral.